RNAcentral lists this ribosomal RNA (420 nucleotides) under uncultured bacterium. RNAcentral describes it as "bacterial SSU rRNA". It matches the Rfam family "Bacterial small subunit ribosomal RNA", at positions 355 to 774 of the family's 1533-position model. The record is from RNAcentral.
UAAGGAAUAUUGCUCAAUGGGAGAAAUCCUGAAGCAGCAACGCCGCGUGGAGGAUGAAGGGUCUAUGACUUGUAAACUCCUGUAAAGAAGGAAAAAAUUCCCAUUUGAUGGGAGAUGAUGGUACUUCUGGAGUAAGCCCCGGCUAACUACGUGCCAGCAGCCGCGGUAAUACGUAGGGGGCAAGCGUUGUCCAGAUUUACUGGGUGUAAAGGGUGCUCAGGCGGAUUUGUAAGUCAGAGGUGAAAUCUUACAGCUUAACUGUGAAACUGCCUUUGAUACUGCAAGCCUAGAGUAUGGAAGAGAGUGAUGGAAUAUCUGGUGUAGCAGUGAAAUGCGUAGAUAUCAGAUAGAACACCAAUGGCGAAGGCAGUCACUUGGUCCAUUACUGACGCUAAAGCACGAAAGCGUGGGUAGCAAACA